GCUGUCGGUUAGUUGCUGCUUUAAAGAUAUAUUUAAAGUAGAGGAAAGUCCAUGCUUGCACUUGCUGGAAUGCAAGUAGUGUUUGUGUAAAUCAAAGCGAUAAGAUUUAGGAUGUGAUAGCCAUAACGACAUAACUAGUCUAAGGUUAAUACUAUGAUGAUGUUUUGAAAGUGCCACAGAGACGAGCUUGGUGAAAACCAGGUAUGAAACGCGGUAAACUCCACAAGCAAGAAACCUAAAUUUUGGUAAGGGAAUGUUGCUUUAAGAACAAAUAAUUAAAGUAAUGACAGCAAUUGCUGUAGAUAAAUAACUGACUUUAAAACAGAACAUGGCUUAUUGAC
Molecule: RNase P RNA, 341 nt
Filed under: Mycoplasmoides genitalium
Lineage: Bacteria; Bacillati; Mycoplasmatota; Mycoplasmoidales; Mycoplasmoidaceae
Also listed under: 1 other name
Description: RNase P RNA component class B
Rfam family: Bacterial RNase P class B
About the family: Ribonuclease P (RNase P) is a ubiquitous endoribonuclease, found in archaea, bacteria and eukarya as well as chloroplasts and mitochondria. Its best characterised activity is the generation of mature 5'-ends of tRNAs by cleaving the 5'-leader elements of precursor-tRNAs.
Source: RNAcentral